This 448-nucleotide unclassified non-coding RNA is filed under the name Hevea brasiliensis (rubber tree). Lineage: Eukaryota; Viridiplantae; Streptophyta; Magnoliopsida; Malpighiales; Euphorbiaceae. The record is from RNAcentral.
CAAGAUGAAUUCAUCUUGCACGAGAGAGAAAGAAAACCAAAUUGCAUAUUUGAGUGGGAAUCAUACAAGAAUUUGAAAUAUACAGAAGAGGGCUGUCAUGAGACAUGUACCUCAAGCUAAAUUCGAACAAACUAAAUGGGCUAGCAUUCCCAUACCAUAUCCAUCUUUCCCUGAUCAACCAGCAAGAUAUAUUCAAUCUGUAGAAAUCCAAAUGAAAUAACACUGCAAAGCACACCCAAAUCUGCAGCAGCAAGCAAUGAAUCCAGAAAGAGAAUGCGAAAAAUUAUGGCAACGUGACCAAAAUCCACUAUGGGCUCACAUAUAUGAACAUCAGCAUCCAAUGGAUAUGGAAGUUUGACUGGUGGUUUUACACUUGUGUACUUGUAAGACAUCUCCACUGCCUUGUGCGAGGCCCUUUGUCCAGAAGCAGUGGCAGACCAACAUUGCU